GACGAACGCUGGCGGCGUGCUUAACACAUGCAAGUCGAACGGAAAGGCCCUGCUUUUGUGGGGUGCUCGAGUGGCGAACGGGUGAGUAACACGUGAGUAACCUGCCCUUGACUUUGGGAUAACUUCAGGAAACUGGGGCUAAUACCGGAUAGGAGCUCCUGCUGCAUGGUGGGGGUUGGAAAGUUUCGGCGGUUGGGGAUGGACUCGCGGCUUAUCAGCUUGUUGGUGGGGUAGUGGCUUACCAAGGCUUUGACGGGUAGCCGGCCUGAGAGGGUGACCGGCCACCUUGGGCCUGAGGUUCGGCCCCGGCUCCUUCGGGAGGCAGGCAGGGGGGAUUUUGGCCCAUGGGGGGGAGCCUGAGGGGGACACCCCGCGUGCGGGAAGAAGGGCUUUGGGUUUUAAAACGGUUUCGGCUGUUAAGGAGGGUGAGUGGCGGUAAUUGGUAAAAAAGCCCCGGGUAACUUCCUG
This 468-nucleotide ribosomal RNA is filed under the name uncultured bacterium. RNAcentral's name for it is "partial 16S ribosomal RNA". It matches the Rfam family "Bacterial small subunit ribosomal RNA", at positions 28 to 507 of the family's 1533-position model. The record is from RNAcentral.